This 253-nucleotide ribosomal RNA is filed under the name uncultured bacterium. RNAcentral describes it as "partial 16S ribosomal RNA". It matches the Rfam family "Bacterial small subunit ribosomal RNA", at positions 524 to 776 of the family's 1533-position model. The record is from RNAcentral.
UACGAAGGGGGCUAGCGUUGUUCGGAAUUACUGGGCGUAAAGCGCGCGUAGGCGGCGAUCUUUGUCAGAGGUGAAAUCCCGAGGCUCAACUUCGGAAUUGCCUUUGAAACGGGAUUGCUUGAGUCCGAGAGAGGAUGGCGGAAUUCCUAGUGUAGAGGUGAAAUUCGUAGAUAUUAGGAAGAACACCGGUGGCGAAGGCGGCCAUCUGGCUCGGUACUGACGCUCAGGCGCGAAAGCGUGGGGAGCAAACAGG